UGGGGAAUAUUGCGCAAUGGGGGAAACCCUGACGCAGCAACGCCGCGUGAGUGAAGAAGGCCUUCGGGUUGUAAAGCUCUUUGAUCAGGGACGAAGGAAGUGACGGUACCUGAAGAACAAGCUCCGGCUAACUACGUGCCAGCAGCCGCGGUAAUACGUAGGGAGCAAGCGUUAUCCGGAUUUACUGGGUGUAAAGGGCGAGUAGGCGGGAAGACAAGUUGGGAGUGAAAUCCCGGGGCUUAACCCCGGAACUGCUUUCAAAACUGUUUUUCUUGAGUGAUGGAGAGGCAGGCGGAAUUCCGUGUGUAGCGGUGAAAUGCGUAGAUAUACGGAGGAACACCAGUGGCGAAGGCGGCCUGCUGGACAUUAACUGACGCUGAGGAGCGAAAGCGUGGGGAGC
Molecule: ribosomal RNA, 400 nt
Filed under: uncultured bacterium
Lineage: Bacteria
Description: bacterial SSU rRNA
Rfam family: Bacterial small subunit ribosomal RNA
Source: RNAcentral